This 465-nucleotide ribosomal RNA is filed under the name uncultured bacterium. RNAcentral's name for it is "partial 16S ribosomal RNA". It matches the Rfam family "Bacterial small subunit ribosomal RNA", at positions 28 to 507 of the family's 1533-position model. The record is from RNAcentral.
GACGAACGCUGGCGGCGUGCUUAACACACGCAAGUCGUACGGUAAGGCCCUUUCGGGGGUACACGAGUGGCGAACGGGUGAGUAACACGUGAGUAACCUGCCCACAACUUUGGGAUAACGCUAGGAAACUGGUGCUAAUACUGGAUAUGUGCUCCUGCUGCAUGGUGGGGGUUGGAAAGCUCCGGCGGUUGUGGAUGGACUCGCGGCCUAUCAGCUUGUUGGUGGGGUAGUGGCCUACCAAGGCGGCGACGGGUAGCCGGCCUGAGAGGGUGACCGGCCACAUUGGGACUGAGAUACGGCCCAGACUCCUACGGGAGGCAGCAGUGGGGAAUAUUGCACAAUGGGCGCAAGCCUGAUGCAGCAACGCCGCGUGCGGGAUAACGGCCUUCGGGUUGUAAACCGCUUUCAGCAGGGACGAAGCUUUUUGUGACGGUACCUGCAGAAGAAGCACCGGCUAACUACGUG